CAAUUGGAAGAUUAUUAGAGUAGUUUAUGUCCUAAAAGCAAUUUGUAUGUAAUUGUAAAUAUAAUGUAGAUUAAUAUAAAUAUUUUUCUUCUUAAUUCUACUUAAAUAUUAUAAAAUUUAUGGCACACAUCAAUUUAGAAAGUAGUUCAUAAGUACUCUAGGGGAACUAUCUAAAUGAUCAUAAUGUUUACCAUAGGGAGGAUUGGAUAUGAUCAAGUGCUGAGGAUUUAUUUAUGGCUAUGAAUGUAUAAUUCAGUAUCACACGUAUGAGGUUGCUAAUGUGUGUAUGGACUAUGUGAAGUUCCUCCACCAAAGUGAUGGCCGUACACUAACAUGUAGGUAUGUUAUCAUACUGAAUGAUCACCACUGGCAAUCCAUCUCAAAAAUCACUAUCAAGGGUUAAGGUGAACCAAAUCGAGUAGCUUAGAAGUGGUCUCUUA
RNAcentral lists this long non-coding RNA (440 nucleotides) under Elaeis guineensis (African oil palm). RNAcentral describes it as "long non-coding RNA (EGUI_LNC052927)". Lineage: Eukaryota; Viridiplantae; Streptophyta; Magnoliopsida; Arecales; Arecaceae. The record is from RNAcentral.